Molecule: ribosomal RNA, 225 nt
Filed under: uncultured bacterium
Lineage: Bacteria
Description: partial 16S ribosomal RNA
Rfam family: Bacterial small subunit ribosomal RNA
Source: RNAcentral
CCGUAUGCAGGGGGACAACAGUCAGAAAUGACUGCUAAUACCGCAUAAGCACACAAUGCUGCAUGGCAUGGUGUGAAAAGAUUUAUCGGCAUACGAUGGCCCCGCGUCUGAUUAGCCAGUUGGCAGGGUAAUGGCCUACCAAAGCAACGAUCAGUAGCCGGCUUGAGAGAGUGACCGGCCACAUUGGGACUGAGACACGGCCCAGACUCCUACGGAAGGCAGCAG